Non-coding RNA from Oncorhynchus masou masou (cherry salmon), 1449 nucleotides. NCBI's taxonomy places the organism in Eukaryota, Metazoa, Chordata, Actinopteri, Salmoniformes, Salmonidae. The record is from the annotation of a RefSeq genome assembly.
AUGGCACCAAACUCACAGUUCUGGCUAGAAUCCUCUUGGUUUUCUGUCUGUGAGGAUGUGGUGUGCUCUGGUGCCUAUGCUGCCUACUUUGGAGAGGGAACUAAGCUAACAGUUCUGGAUCCAAACAUCAAAGUCACUGAACCCACAGUGAAAGUCCUCGCACCCUCCGCUAAGGAGUGUGAAGAUAGAAACAAGAAGAAGAAGAAGACCCUAGUGUGUGUCGCCACCCGCUUCUACCCCGACCACGUCACGGUCUUCUGGCAAGUCAACAACGUCAACAGAACUGAAGGUGCCGGGACCGACAACAGGGCCUUGUGGGAUGAAGAUGGUUUAUACAGUAUCACCAGCAGACUGAGAGUCCCAGCCAAGGAAUGGCACAAACCAGAGAACAGAUUCACCUGCAAUGUCAGCUUUUACAAUGGGACUGACAAUAUAAAAGUGAAUGACACCAUUAGUGGAGAUCUCAAAGGUCAAAGUGGGGAAGAGAUAACGACAGAUUACUAUGUGAAGAGCACCCAGACUGCCAAGCUGGCCUACAGCAUCUUCAUCGCUAAGAGUACCUUCUAUGGCCUGGUCGUCAUGGUUAUGAUUUGGAAGUUCCAGGUGAGUUCACUGCAAAUAUGAUAAAGGUUCAUCACACAGCCAUCUCUCUCCUCUUCUAUCUCUGCCUUGUGCGGAAGGAGUCCCAGAUCAGUUUAGUACGGUCUUGCCAACUCCUAUGGUCAGGGUGACAGUGACCACACAAACAGAUCCCACUGGACACACCACGUCAUUUCAACGUGGAUCAUUGGGAAAUACUUGGUUUAGACGUUGAUCAAUGAGAUUACAAUUGAUAUUCACCCAAUCAAAAAGACAGCCAAAAGUUAGUCGAAUUUCCAGUGUGUUAUCCCUGUGAUUUCAACCAUCUAAAAGCACGAACAUGUUCAAAUGGAAAACAACAAUGUCUGAUUUCUGAUUUAGUUGUCAACCAAAUGUCUAUCACUGCUCUUUCAACCAUCUAAAAGCACAACACAGUUCAAAUGGGGAUACACUGUCAGAUAUUGAAUCCUUUAUAGAACAGAUUAAUGUGUUAUCACUGGGCUUCAUCUCAUAGCACAACCACAUGAGCUGGAUUGCAGUUGAGAGUUACAUUAUAGCACACGGUACAAGGGAUCAAUGCCAUUUGAGAUUCUAUUUUGAUUUUAAGAGGAGAUCUCUCAACAGUCUGUCCCACGAUAAGCACAGAGGUCAUAAUCAGUGAGAAAUAGCAUAGCGAAGCGUGACUGCGUUAAAACCUGGGAUGGAAGACAGAUGAACUCUCCAGUAGGAGGGGCUGCCCAGCAUAAUGUUUUGUUUCUGAUAGUGACCCUGACUUUGAAUAUCUGAUAUUGUUUAAAAUCGAUCAAAAUUCAACAUAUUUUGUCAAUGUUGAAAUUAGUUUACCAUCAUGACACAAUCCUGUGAUUUAAA